RNAcentral lists this ribosomal RNA (254 nucleotides) under uncultured bacterium. RNAcentral describes it as "partial 16S ribosomal RNA". It matches the Rfam family "Bacterial small subunit ribosomal RNA", at positions 524 to 776 of the family's 1533-position model. The record is from RNAcentral.
UACGUAGGAUCCGAGCGUUAUCCGGAAUCACUGGGCGUAAAGCGUGAGCAGGUGGUAACAUAUGUCAGAUGCGAAAUCUUGCGGCUCAACCGUAUAGACUGUAUCUGAAACUGUGUUGCUCGAGGUCGGUAGAGGCAAGCGGAAUUUGUGAUGUAGCAGUGAAAUGCGUAGAUAUCACAAGGAACACCAAUGGCGAAGGCAGCUUGCUGGGCCGCACCUGACACUCAGUCACGAAAGCGUGGGGAGCGAACGGG